UACAGAGGGUGCAAGCGUUAAUCGGAAUUACUGGGCGUAAAGCGUGCGUAGGCGGUAGCGUAAGUCGGGUGUGAAAGCCCCGGGCUCAACCUGGGAAUUGCAUUCGAGACUGCUCUGCUAGGGUGCGGAAGAGGGAAGCGGAAUUUCCGGUGUAGCGGUGAAAUGCGUAGAUAUGUGGAGGAAUACCGAUGGCGAAGGCAGCCUCCUGGGCCAACACUGACGCUCAUGCACGAAAGCGUGGGGAGCAAACAGG
This 253-nucleotide ribosomal RNA is filed under the name uncultured bacterium. RNAcentral describes it as "partial 16S ribosomal RNA". It matches the Rfam family "Bacterial small subunit ribosomal RNA", at positions 524 to 776 of the family's 1533-position model. The record is from RNAcentral.